GAUCCUGGCUCAGAAUGAACGCUGGCGGCAGGCCUAACACAUGCAAGUCGAACGAGGUAGCAAUACCUAGUGGCGGACGGGUGAGUAACACGUGGGAACGUACCCUUUGCUACGGAAUAGCCCUGGGAAACUGGGAGUAAUACCGUAUGAGCCCGAGAGGGGAAUGAUUUAUCGGCAAAGGAUCGGCCCGCGUUGGAUUAGGUAGUUGGUGGGGUAAUGGCCUACCAAGCCGACGAUCCAUAGCUGGUUUGAGAGGAUGAUCAGCCACACUGGGACUGAGACACGGCCCAGACUCCUACGGGAGGCAGCAGUGGGGAAUCUUAGACAAUGGGGAAACCCUGAUCUAGCCAUGCCGCGUGAUCGAUGAAGGCCUUAGGGUUGUAAAGAUCUUUCAGGUGGGAAGAUAAUGACUGUACCACCAGAAGAAGCCCCGGCUAACUCCGUG
This 445-nucleotide ribosomal RNA is filed under the name uncultured bacterium. Its description in RNAcentral is "bacterial SSU rRNA". It matches the Rfam family "Bacterial small subunit ribosomal RNA", at positions 15 to 507 of the family's 1533-position model. The record is from RNAcentral.